Molecule: long non-coding RNA, 2488 nt
Filed under: Mus musculus (house mouse)
Lineage: Eukaryota; Metazoa; Chordata; Mammalia; Rodentia; Muridae
Description: long non-coding RNA chr4:132659673-132662161
Source: RNAcentral
GUGGUGGUGGUGGUGGUUGUCUUACUUGUUUGUUUUUGUUUUCUUGUCUUCAUUACUAAAGAUUGAACCCAGAGCCUCGCUCAUGCUAAGCAGGUGCUUCAUCUCCGAGCUCGCCUUUGAGUAUUUCCUAGGUUUAGUUACUCUUUGUUUUCUCUAUUCAAGCCGAGUCUUACACCGGCAGAGAGAAAGAAAGGGUCCUCCACCUGUACGUAGGAUUGCCAUAUUUUGUAAGGUUGCUUAUGAUAACAUUACAAAACUAUAUUGUAAUUUGAUGGUUUCCUCUCCUUAUUAGCUAAGUGCAGCCUGGUAUUAUUAUUUGCUAGAUGUGACUGUUUUUCCAAAAAAAAUGAAAAAGGAUCUACUUAGCCAGGUGUGGGGGCACAUGUUUUUAAUCACAGCCCUCAGGAGAUGAGACAGGCAGAUCUCUAUGAGUAAUGAGUUCUAGGCCAGCCUGGUCUACAAAGCAAGUUCCAGGAUAGCCAGGGCUGUUACAAAGAGAAACCCUGUCCUGAAACCAGCAAAAGGGGGAGACUGUCUACCAUUUUAUUCCCUGUUUUGGCAGGUUACACUAUGAAUAAGGAAUACUGGCUUUAUUCCCCCCCCCCUCCCUGUUAGAGGGAUGACAAAUGCUUUAAAUUGCUGACCUCAUUCCCCUUCGUUUGUUACCGGAUUCCUCGGAUGUGUGGAUGUGUGUACGUGGUUUUGUGUCUCAAGCAAUUUGGUUUAGCAACUCAUCCCUAUCUAAUUCCUGAAGUUAGCACACAGUUUAAACAUUAUUAUAAUGAAGUGGACAAUAUAGGGAAGUAUAUCCAAACCCAGCACAGUCAGCUGUGGUCUUCAGUUUACUCAGAAACUUACUUAGGGCAUCGGCUCCCAUCUGCCUUGGUCCAGCAGCCUCUUUAUGUUUUUACACUCAAUGUUUCCUUCCUAUCCAUUUUCUAUCUUUGUUUUAUCAGAAUGGUGCCUAAAGUUCAGAGUAGACUGUGUUAUCUCGCAAGUGCUCAAAGGCUCCCUGUUAUCCUCAAGGUCGACUUGAGCUCCCUAACCUGAUUCUUAAGGAUGGAUCUUGGUGAUUAGGCUGCCUGCUGUCAUGAUCUCUUCCUUCAGACAUGCUACUCGUAGGUGCAGUGGGUUUUCAGUACAUUGAAUUUCGUGUUCUUUACUAUCAGUAAACCCUUUCUGCCUGUUUUUUAUAUAUAUAUAUAUUUUUUUCUGAACAUAGCAGCUUUUCUCCACUCUCUGAUACAAGUUCUCCCUCUUUACCUCACUAAAUUAUUCAGCUUAUCAGGUUUCACCUUAGGCUAAUUAUUUUUCUUUUCUUUUCUUUCUUUCUUUUUUUUUUUGGCUUGUUUGGUUUUAGACAGGCUCUUUAUAGCCUUGGCUGUCCUUGAAACUUGCUUUAUAGAGCAAGCUGACAUCGAACUCUCAGAGUUCUACCUGUCCUGUUCCCCCACAGCACUAAGACUAAAUGAAUAUGUUAUCAUACUAUGGCUCUCAAUUGAGUUAAAACCAUAGGAUAUUAUUUAAAGGUGUAAACCUGGUGGUUUAACAAUAGCUGAACCUUUUUCUCUUCUAAAAUUAUGGCAGGUAGUAAACUGUCGUUGAAUUUUUUUUUUUUUCCCUAAUUUAGUUUCUGUUUAAAACAUUGUUUUCCUUCCUUGGGCUACAUCUCCUUCUCCCACUUUUAUAGUGGGGUUAGAUUCUUUAUUAGGGUCCGCAUGCCAUCCUGGAGUUCUUCAACCUCUUGUUUGGCUUAUUGAAAGUAACUACUAUUACAAAAGUUCCACAUUUAUGUGUAAUGACACUUGAGGUCAGAACAAAAUGAAACACUAACAUAUUAGUUAAUAUAUAGUCAAACUUCUCUCCCAACUGUCAGUCAGUAUGUGUCAGUAUCUAACCAACUGAAGGUGGAUAUAAUGGGCAGAGGCUAUCUCUAGUAUAUGCAGUCUUCAGGCAUUCCCAUUUCCUAAUCCCUAGUAAUCAGUAUAGCAACUAUUCACACAGUGCUUACAUUGUGUUACAUAUUAUUAGUGGUUGAAAGAUGGCGGAAGUACAUGAGAACUAUGUGAGGUAAUAUAAAGGCCCGGAGGCUACAGAAUUUCCUAUAGUGAGAGUCCCUCAAGCCCUGCUGCUUGAGAUGCCAAGACACAGCUGUGUUUGAAGAACUAGGGUUUCAGAGUCGGAUCACUGCACUGAUUUCUGUGUGUGCUGAUGUUUACAGGUGAAAAAAGCCAAGAUGCAGGAACCAAGAGAACAGACUUUAAGGUAUUUGUAAAACUGGGCUUCUUUUUAACCAUCUGUUUUAAUUUUUACCUCGUGCUGAUUGGUGUGGGGUGUGCUUUGUGCUGACUGCCUCUUACUUCUCACUGUCACCUUUCAUUUGGAAAUUACUUGAUUUCAGAUUAAAACUUCUCUUUAGUUGGAUUUAUUAAACCCCAAACCAGAGACUAGUUUGGGCAACUUAGCAAGACUCCACUGCAAAACAAAC